This 605-nucleotide ribosomal RNA is filed under the name Acinetobacter sp. R37(2010). RNAcentral describes it as "bacterial SSU rRNA". It matches the Rfam family "Bacterial small subunit ribosomal RNA", at positions 704 to 1309 of the family's 1533-position model. The record is from RNAcentral. Lineage: Bacteria; Pseudomonadati; Pseudomonadota; Gammaproteobacteria; Moraxellales; Moraxellaceae.
AAUUCCCGAUGGCGAAGGCAGCCAUCUGGCCUAAUACUGACGCUGAGGUACGAAAGCAUGGGGAGCAAACAGGAUUAGAUACCCUGGUAGUCCAUGCCGUAAACGAUGUCUACUAGCCGUUGGGGCCUUUGAGGCUUUAGUGGCGCAGCUAACGCGAUAAGUAGACCGCCUGGGGAGUACGGUCGCAAGACUAAAACUCAAAUGAAUUGACGGGGGCCCGCACAAGCGGUGGAGCAUGUGGUUUAAUUCGAUGCAACGCGAAGAACCUUACCUGGUCUUGACAUAGUAAGAACUUUCCAGAGAUGGAUUGGUGCCUUCGGGAACUUACAUACAGGUGCUGCAUGGCUGUCGUCAGCUCGUGUCGUGAGAUGUUGGGUUAAGUCCCGCAACGAGCGCAACCCUUUUCCUUAUUUGCCAGCACUUCGGGUGGGAACUUUAAGGAUACUGCCAGUGACAAACUGGAGGAAGGCGGGGACGACGUCAAGUCAUCAUGGCCCUUACGACCAGGGCUACACACGUGCUACAAUGGUCGGUACAAAGGGUUGCUACCUAGCGAUAGGAUGCUAAUCUCAAAAAGCCGAUCGUAGUCCGGAUUGGAGUCUGCA